RNA transcript from Lycium barbarum (goji berry), 603 nucleotides. It is a transcript of the gene named protein CYSTEINE-RICH TRANSMEMBRANE MODULE 11-like, with no coding region annotated. The record is from RefSeq and is a predicted model, not a curated record. The transcript is spliced from 3 exons. Lineage: Eukaryota; Viridiplantae; Streptophyta; Magnoliopsida; Solanales; Solanaceae.
ACUUUAAACAUAAUAAUGCAGAGACUUUAAAUUCUGAUGUUCCUUCUUUGUUCAGAGUUCAACUGAUAUAUUGUCCCCAAAUUAAAAACUGAGAUUUAACACAAAGACAAUAUGAGUGAAGUACCAAAGCAAGUAGCUUAUGCCUACCCCGCUCCAGGUUAUUACGAGGGACCUCCAGUGAUGGCACCCCCUAUGUAUAUGUAUACUGCUGCUCCUCCUAGGAGCCAACCAGGUUUUCUCGAGGCUUGCCUGGCAACGUUAUGUUGUUGUUGCCUCCUAGACUGUUGUUGCUGGGAUCCUUUCCUCUGCAUCUAGUUCUUCUUUGUACAACUACUUAAAAUGUCAGUAGUAUUCUAUAAGCCGCUUUCUUUUUUGGGUCUGGAAGAAACCAGUGUAUUAUACUUGAAACAAAACAUUUGUACAGGGAGUUGUAAAUGGUGUAGAACUCGCAUUACAAAGGGGGAUUUCAGGGAGUUGUAAGUUAUAAGUGAAUAGAAGAGUUGGAGUACUACUCUUGAUCUCUUUUUUUGUUUUGUUUUUGUCUUAAUCAUUCACAAGUUACCAGCCAAAAGAAGAAUAAAAAUAAUGUGCAUUGUGCCUAUG